UUCUGUAUUUUUUGGGUGAGUUAAAAACGCAUUUCUGUGUCAAACUGGUGUGAUUUGUGUCUUUCUGCAGAUGAUCUGGACGAGGCGUUCACAGAGCUGACUCACCUUGUGAAGGUCUACCUGGGCUUGGAGCCACCUGAAAUUCUGGACAACAUCGAAGGCAUCAGGAACAGGGCAGGUUCCAGAUCUCCGCUCUUCCCAGAGGAAAGGUCGGGCAGAGGAACUCCUGCGCGCAUUCGCUCUCCAUCCCUUGGUGAAUUCUUGGAUCCUUUUCCCAAAACCUAUCCCAGAGAUCUUCUGGAUGUGCUGAGCGCGCCGCCAGGCUCCGCGGAAGAAGCCUCUCUCCGAAGACGUUUCUCCACAGCACGUCAGGUGCUUCAUUUCCACAGGUAACCCCAAAUAAUUCCAAUUAAAUCCCUUGCAAUCCACUCCAAAAAAUGCAUUUUUAGGGUUUUUCCCUGUUGUUCUAUAUAAAUAUAUACUGUUUAUAUAUGUAUUAUAU
Molecule: long non-coding RNA, 502 nt
Filed under: Cyanistes caeruleus (blue tit)
Lineage: Eukaryota; Metazoa; Chordata; Aves; Passeriformes; Paridae
Description: lncRNA (ENSCCEG00000003969.1)
Source: RNAcentral